RNAcentral lists this ribosomal RNA (371 nucleotides) under uncultured organism. Its description in RNAcentral is "bacterial SSU rRNA". It matches the Rfam family "Bacterial small subunit ribosomal RNA", at positions 526 to 896 of the family's 1533-position model. The record is from RNAcentral.
CGUAGGUGGCAAGCGUUGUCCGGAGUUACUGGGUGUAAAGGGCGUGUAGGCGGGAAGAUAAGUCAGAUGUGAAAUUCCAUGGCUCAACUGUGGCGCUGCAUCUGAAACUAUUUUUCUUGAGUGAUGGAGAGGAAAGCGGAAUUCCUAGUGUAGCGGUGAAAUGCGUAGAUAUUAGGAGGAACACCAGUGGCGAAGGCGGCUUUCUGGACAUUAACUGACGCUGAGGCGCGAAAGCGUGGGGAGCAAACAGGAUUAGAUACCCUGGUAGUCCACGCUGUAAACGAUGGAUACUAGGUGUAGGAGGUAUCGACCCCUUCUGUGCCGGAGUUAACACAAUAAGUAUCCACCUGGGGAGUACGGCCGCAAGGUUG